GCCCAGAUGGCGGAAUUGGUAGACGCGCCAGAUUCAGGUUCUGGUGGGUAACACUGUGGAGGUUCGAGUCCUCUUCUGGGCACCA
This 85-nucleotide transfer RNA is filed under the name Bacteroidota bacterium. RNAcentral describes it as "Bacteroidetes bacterium (freshwater metagenome) tRNA-Leu". It matches the Rfam family "tRNA". From Rfam's summary of the family: Transfer RNA (tRNA) molecules are approximately 80 nucleotides in length. Their secondary structure includes four short double-helical elements and three loops (D, anti-codon, and T loops). Lineage: Bacteria; Pseudomonadati; Bacteroidota. RNAcentral also lists the same sequence under 1 other name. The record is from RNAcentral.